Molecule: ribosomal RNA, 545 nt
Filed under: Longpotamon depressum shangchengense
Lineage: Eukaryota; Metazoa; Arthropoda; Malacostraca; Decapoda; Potamidae
Description: partial 16S ribosomal RNA
Rfam family: Bacterial large subunit ribosomal RNA
Source: RNAcentral
GUUUGUUUGGAGUUAUAAAGAAUUUAACCUGCCCCCUGAUUAAUUAUUAAAGGGCCGCAGUAUUAUAACUGUGCAAAGGUAGCAUAAUCAUUAGGUUUUUAAUUGAAAUCUCGUAUGAAUGGUUGGACAAAAGAAAAACUCUCUUUAUAUUAAGUUUUGAAUUUAACUUUUAAGUGAAAAGGCUUAAAUGUCCUAAAGGGACGAUAAGACCCUAUAAAACUUUACAUUGUCAUUAAUUUUGAUUGAAUUUAUGAAAUAAGAAUUUUAUUUGGUUAUUUGUUAUGUUGGGGAGAUAUAAGUAAAAUAUUUUUUUUAACUGCUUUGAUAAUUAUACAAUUAUAAAUGGUAAGUAGAAGAUCCUUUUUUAAGAUUAAUAGAUUAAGUUACUUUAGGGAUAACAGUGUGAUUUCUUUUGAGAGUUCUUAUCGAAAAAGAAGAUUGCAACCUCGAUGUUGAAUUAAAAUAUCUAUAUAACGGAGAGGUUAUAUAAGAAGGUCUGUUCGACCUUGAAAUUUUUACAUGAUUUGAGUUCAAACCGGUGUAAG